AGCAUUCUCCACACGCCCCGGAGUGACGAGGUCUCCAUAACAACGUUUGUUUCCAGGGUGACCUGCUGCUGUUGCCAUGGCAUCCUGUAUCCACGGCGAGACUCCAGAUGGCUCUGAAGGUCCAGCGUGAUGAGUAAACGAGGCGACGGGGCACACCGGAGUAAACGUACGGGCAGCGGGCGUGAGGAGGAACCGAGCGCGGCAAACAUCAGGAGCUUCACUAACGGUGGGGAGAGCACCAGCAGGACCGGGUUCACCAAACGGAGGGAAGAACCGGGAGAACCGCGAUCACGUGAUGGUGAUACGACAGCUAGAACAGCCGCUCUUCUCAGAAGCUUCUCCCUAGACUUUGGAGUGUCUGUGUGUGUGGGAAUUUGUGCCCAUUCAUUGUGUGGCUGAGUUCUGGUCGGUGUUCCGGUUCAUCCCAGAGCUGUUGAGUGGGGCUGAGCUCAGGGCUCUGUGCAGGACACUGGAGUUUUUCUUGACGUCUUUAUAGAGCUCACUCAUGCAGGAACAGACACACUUGCUGCUGGAGGACUGGGUGCACCGGAACCUUGAUUCCUCACCCUGCUGGAGGACUGGGUGCACCGGAACCUUGAUUCCUCACCCUGCUGGAGCACUGGGUGCACUGGAACCUUGAUCUCUCACCCUGCUGGAGGACUGGGUGCACCGGAACCUUGAUCCCUCACCCUGCUGGAGGACUGGGUGCACUGGAACCUUGAUCUCUCACCCUGCUGGAGGACUGGGUGCACUGGAACCUUGAUCUCUCACCCUGCUGGAGGACUGGGUGCACUGGAACCUUGAUUUCUCACCCUGCUGGAGGACUGGGUGCACCGGAACCUUGAUCUCUCACGCUGCUGGAGGACUGGGAGCACCGGAACCUUGAUCUCUCACCCUUCUGGAGGACUGGGUGCACCGGAACCUUGAUCCCUCACGCUGUUGGAGGACGAGUUUUCCUCCUCAGACCCUCUCAGACCUUUGGCCAGAGAGUGCAGGCGCUACACUGGCCGGUCUGCAGUCCCAGACACUUUACAUCUUUUACACUUUUGCUCCUGGUGUAAACAGUGGAUUAUUUAUCAAUAAAAACUUUAUAUGUUA
Long non-coding RNA from Trichomycterus rosablanca, 1098 nucleotides. RefSeq lists it as uncharacterized. The transcript is spliced from 3 exons. The record is from RefSeq and is a predicted model, not a curated record. Lineage: Eukaryota; Metazoa; Chordata; Actinopteri; Siluriformes; Trichomycteridae.